This 468-nucleotide ribosomal RNA is filed under the name uncultured bacterium. Its description in RNAcentral is "partial 16S ribosomal RNA". It matches the Rfam family "Bacterial small subunit ribosomal RNA", at positions 28 to 507 of the family's 1533-position model. The record is from RNAcentral.
GACGAACGCUGACGGCGUGCUUAACACAUGCAAGUCGAACGGAAAGGCCCUGCUUUUGUGGGGUGCUCGAGUGGCGAACGGGUGAGUAACACGUGAGUAACCUGCCCUUGACUUUGGGAUAACUUCAGGAAACUGGGGCUAAUACCGGAUAGGAGCUCCUGCUGCAUGGUGGGGGUUGGAAAGUUUCGGCGGUUGGGGAUGGACUCGCGGCUUAUCAGCUUGUUGGUGGGGUAGUGGCUUACCAAGGCUUUGACGGGUAGCCGGCCUGAGGGGGUGACCGGCCACAUUGGGACUGAGAUACGGCCCAGACUCCUACGGGAGGCAGCAGUGGGGAAUAUUGCACAAUGGGCGGAAGCCUGAUGCAGCAACGCCGCGUGCGGGAUGACGGCCUUCGGGUUGUAAACCGCUUUCGCCUGUGACGAAGCGUGAGUGACGGUAAUGGGUAAAGAAGCACCGGCUAACUACGUG